This 1138-nucleotide ribosomal RNA is filed under the name Bacillus subtilis. Its description in RNAcentral is "bacterial SSU rRNA". It matches the Rfam family "Bacterial small subunit ribosomal RNA", at positions 50 to 1171 of the family's 1533-position model. Lineage: Bacteria; Bacillati; Bacillota; Bacilli; Caryophanales; Bacillaceae. The record is from RNAcentral.
AAUACAUGCAAGUCGAGCGGACAGAUGGGAGCUUGCUCCCUGAUGUUAGCGGCGGACGGGUGAGUAACACGUGGGUAACCUGCCUGUAAGACUGGGAUAACUCCGGGAAACCGGGGCUAAUACCGGAUGCUUGUUUGAACCGCAUGGUUCAAACAUAAAAGGUGGCUUCGGCUACCACUUACAGAUGGACCCGCGGCGCAUUAGCUAGUUGGUGAGGUAAUGGCUCACCAAGGCGACGAUGCGUAGCCGACCUGAGAGGGUGAUCGGCCACACUGGGACUGAGACACGGCCCAGACUCCUACGGGAGGCAGCAGUAGGGAAUCUUCCGCAAUGGACGAAAGUCUGACGGAGCAACGCCGCGUGAGUGAUGAAGGUUUUCGGAUCGUAAAGCUCUGUUGUUAGGGAAGAACAAGUACCGUUCGAAUAGGGCGGUACCUUGACGGUACCUAACCAGAAAGCCACGGCUAACUACGUGCCAGCAGCCGCGGUAAUACGUAGGUGGCAAGCGUUGUCCGGAAUUAUUGGGCGUAAAGGGCUCGCAGGCGGUUUCUUAAGUCUGAUGUGAAAGCCCCCGGCUCAACCGGGGAGGGUCAUUGGAAACUGGGGAACUUGAGUGCAGAAGAGGAGAGUGGAAUUCCACGUGUAGCGGUGAAAUGCGUAGAGAUGUGGAGGAACACCAGUGGCGAAGGCGACUCUCUGGUCUGUAACUGACGCUGAGGAGCGAAAGCGUGGGGAGCGAACAGGAUUAGAUACCCUGGUAGUCCACGCCGUAAACGAUGAGUGCUAAGUGUUAGGGGGUUUCCGCCCCUUAGUGCUGCAGCUAACGCAUUAAGCACUCCGCCUGGGGAGUACGGUCGCAAGACUGAAACUCAAAGGAAUUGACGGGGGCCCGCACAAGCGGUGGAGCAUGUGGUUUAAUUCGAAGCAACGCGAAGAACCUUACCAGGUCUUGACAUCCUCUGACAAUCCUAGAGAUAGGACGUCCCCUUCGGGGGCAGAAUGACAGGUGGUGCAUGGUUGUCGUCAGCUCCUGUCCUGAGAUGUUGGGUUAAAUCCCGCAACGAACGCAACCCUUGAUCUUAUUUGCCACCAUUCAAUUGGGCACUCUAAGGUGACUGCCGCGGAACAACCGGAGGAA